RNAcentral lists this ribosomal RNA (253 nucleotides) under uncultured bacterium. Its description in RNAcentral is "partial 16S ribosomal RNA". It matches the Rfam family "Bacterial small subunit ribosomal RNA", at positions 524 to 776 of the family's 1533-position model. The record is from RNAcentral.
UACGGGGGGGGCAAGCGUUGUUCGGAAUUACUGGGCGGAAAGGGCGCGUAGGCGGGCGGUCAAGUCUCUCGUGAAAGCGCACGGCUCAAUCGUGGAAUUGCGGGAGAUACUGCCUGUCUUGAGUCCGGGAGAGGAGGGUGGAAUUCCCAGUGUAGCGGUGAAAUGCGUAGAUAUUGGGAGGAACACCGGUGGAGAAGGCUGCUCUGUGGACAGGUAUUGACGCUGAGGCGCGAAAGCUAGGGGAGCAAAAGGG